GACGAACGCUGGCGGCGUGCUUAACACAUGCAAGUCGAACGGAAAGGCCCUGCUUUUGUGGGGUGCUCGAGUGGCGAACGGGUGAGUAACACGUGAGUAACCUGCCCUUGACUUUGGGAUAACUUCAGGAAACUGGGGCUAAUACCGGAUAGGAGCUCCUGCUGCAUGGUGGGGGUUGGAAAGUUUCGGCGGUUGGGGAUGGACUCGCGGCUUAUCAGCUUGUUGGUGGGGUAGUGGCUUACCAAGGCUUUGACGGGUAGCCGGCCUGAGAGGGUGACCGGGCACAAUGGGACUGAGAUACGGCCCAGACUCCUACGGGAGGCAGCAGGGGGGAAUAUUGCACCAUGGGCGGAAGCCUGAUGCAGCAACGCCGCGUGCGGGAUGACGGCCUUCGGGUUGUAAACCGCUUUCGCCUGUGACGAAGCGUGAGUGACGGUAAUGGGUAAAGAAGCACCGGCUAACUACGUG
This 468-nucleotide ribosomal RNA is filed under the name uncultured bacterium. Its description in RNAcentral is "partial 16S ribosomal RNA". It matches the Rfam family "Bacterial small subunit ribosomal RNA", at positions 28 to 507 of the family's 1533-position model. The record is from RNAcentral.